ACUUGCAAUAUGUCCUUGGAAGGGACAUUGAUUGGAUAGGUAUAGUCAAGUUAAAUGAGAUGCAUUAUUGAGUUAUAGAGAUGCAUUAUGAAUAUACUUUGUCCAACAAGAGGUCUCAAUGUCAACAAUUCAUCAGAGAAUAUCAUAUCCAAGAUAUCAUUUAAAGCAGCUUGUUCUUAUUUUACAUCUUGUGCCUUCCUCAUAUAAAGUAAGUGGCAGAGCAUUUAAUAGCUAGCAAUUUUGGUCAUGAUAAGAUGAAAAAUAACAGUAAAAUUAGAAAGCUCGUAUCUAGUAUCUAGUGCCGAUAAUAGUAUCCAUUAAAAAGAAAA
Molecule: long non-coding RNA, 329 nt
Organism: Syzygium oleosum
Lineage: Eukaryota; Viridiplantae; Streptophyta; Magnoliopsida; Myrtales; Myrtaceae
Exons: 2
Source: RefSeq, a predicted model, not a curated record